Molecule: unclassified non-coding RNA, 354 nt
Filed under: soil metagenome
Description: partial contains 5.8S ribosomal RNA, internal transcribed spacer 2, and large subunit ribosomal RNA
Rfam family: 5.8S ribosomal RNA (bases 1-120)
Source: RNAcentral
GAUGAAGAACGCAGCGAAAUGCGAUAACUAAUGUGAAUUGCAGAAUUCCGUGAAUCAUCGAGUCUUUGAACGCACAUUGCGCCCCCUGGCAUUCCGGGGGGCAUGCCUGUCCGAGCGUCAUUUCUGCCCUCCAGCCCGGCUGGGUGUUGGGCGCUGUCCCCCCGGGGACACGCCCCAAAGGCAGUGGCGGCGCCGCGUCGGGUCCUCGAGCGUAUGGGGCUUUGUCACCCGCUCGGGACGGACUCGUCGGCGCUGGUCUUCCUCCAGGCGACCCUUCGGGGCUCGUCUUCCUUCGGUUGACCUCGGAUCAGGUAGGGUUACCCGCUGAACUUAAGCAUAUCAAUAAGCGGAGGA